Pantherophis guttatus is the source of this 409-nucleotide non-coding RNA. Lineage: Eukaryota; Metazoa; Chordata; Lepidosauria; Squamata; Colubridae. The record is from RefSeq and is a predicted model, not a curated record.
UUUCUUGUAGUUGUUUGAUUGGGUCACGGUUGGGAACCUUCAGUCUUCUCAGAAUCAUGUAUUUCUAAAUCUUUUGUCCAAGGGCUUAAAAGGAGGAGGUCGCUUUGGGCAAACCACUCCUCCACUUGUUGAUUUCCUUAAAGAUAUUUUAAGAAGAUACCCAGAAGGAGGGCAAAUUCUUAAGCCCAGGACUGUGUUGGCUUUUUUGGCAGCUGCUGCACACUGCUGGUUCAUAUUUAAAUGGUUGUGCACUAGGACUCCAAGAUCCCUCUCAAAGUUACUACUAUUGAGCAAGGUACCUCAUAUAUUGUACCUGUGCAUUUUGUUUUUCUUGCCAAAAUGCAGAACCUUACUUUUUUCACCAUUGAAUUUCAUUUUGUUAGAUAGCGCCCAAUGUUCUGGUCCAGAA